This 216-nucleotide long non-coding RNA is filed under the name Elaeis guineensis (African oil palm). RNAcentral describes it as "long non-coding RNA (EGUI_LNC058804)". Lineage: Eukaryota; Viridiplantae; Streptophyta; Magnoliopsida; Arecales; Arecaceae. The record is from RNAcentral.
AUGGGUAUCCACAUGAAGUCCUUGUGCUGAUCGAUCUCUCCGAGAGAGCUAGCUCGUGAAGACGCCAUCCAUUGGCUGAUUUGAAAGAAACAUGAUGGAAUUGAAGAAUAAGGAGAUCCUCUCCUUUUUUUUCUGGAUCAAUGCAUCUGAUCUUCACAAUAGGGAUCAAGAGAAGAACCUUUUCUUCUCAAUUUUUUAUGUAUAAGAGAGAACCUU